AGCGAACGCUGGCGGCAGGCCUAACACAUGCAAGUCGAACGAAAUCUUCGGAGUUAGUGGCGGUUGGGUGUGUCACGUGUGGGACCGUGGAUUUUGGCUCGGAAUAAUACAGGGACACUUGUGCUAAUACAGAAUGAGUCACUCGGGUGCAAGAUUCAUCGUCAUUAGAGAGGCCCGCGUUUGUUUAGCUUGUUGGUGAGGUAACGGCGCACCAAGGCGACGAUCAGUAGCUGGUCUGAGAGGAUGAGCAGCCACACUGGGACUAGGACACGGCCCAGAAUCCUACGGGAUGCAGCAGUGGGUAAUCUUGCGCAAUGGGGGAAGUCCUGACGCAGCCAGGCCUGGUGAGUGAUGAAGUUCUGAGGGAAGAAAAAUACUUUCACCGGGGACUGUAAUGACGGUACCCGGAGAAUAAGCCCCGGCUAACUUCGUG
RNAcentral lists this ribosomal RNA (433 nucleotides) under uncultured bacterium. RNAcentral's name for it is "partial 16S ribosomal RNA". It matches the Rfam family "Bacterial small subunit ribosomal RNA", at positions 29 to 507 of the family's 1533-position model. The record is from RNAcentral.